AGAGUUUGAUCAUGGCUCAGGAUGAACGCUGGCGGCGUGCCUAACACAUGCAAGUCGAACGAAGCACAUACGACAGAACUCUUCGGAGGGAAGAUGUAUGUGACUGAGUGGCGGACGGGUGAGUAACGCGUGGGUAACCUGCCCUAUACAGGGGGACAACAGUUGGAAACGACUGCUAAUACCGCAUAAGCGCACAGUACCGCAUGGUACAGAGCGAAAAAACUCCGGUGGUAUAGGAUGGACCCGCG
This 248-nucleotide ribosomal RNA is filed under the name uncultured bacterium. Its description in RNAcentral is "partial 16S ribosomal RNA". It matches the Rfam family "Bacterial small subunit ribosomal RNA", at positions 8 to 235 of the family's 1533-position model. The record is from RNAcentral.